CUGGAGCCUGCUCAGAGGUGCUUUGAAGGUCUGUGACCUGAACCCCUGGGCUUCUGCCUCAGGCCUCCUGUGCUCUGCUCUCUGCCUGCUGGGUCCCCUCACCAGGCUUCUGUCUGGUUCCCAGGCUACCUGCCUGGAGGGUCACACCAGGAGGAUUUCAAACAGGUUUCAAGUGGGGUCACUUGCCAUCACUGUGCCCCACGAGUGCCGGAGGCCCCGCCUCUGCUGUUGGCAGCUGUGUUGCUGGGCCUGGUGCUGCUGGUGGUGCUGCUGCUGCUUCUGAGGCACUGGGGCUGGGGCCUGUGCCUUAUCGGCUGGAACGAGUUCAUCCUGCAGCCCAUCCACAACCUGCUCAUGGGUGACACCAAGGAGCAGCGCAUC
This 381-nucleotide long non-coding RNA is filed under the name Homo sapiens (human). RNAcentral describes it as "long non-coding RNA NONHSAT083438.2". The record is from RNAcentral. Lineage: Eukaryota; Metazoa; Chordata; Mammalia; Primates; Hominidae.